AUGGAAAUCUCUGUAAUUUUUAGAUUUUUAGAUAGUAUAGGGCGGAUUAGCCAA
Molecule: transfer RNA, 54 nt
Filed under: Leucochloron limae
Lineage: Eukaryota; Viridiplantae; Streptophyta; Magnoliopsida; Fabales; Fabaceae
Description: partial tRNA-His
Source: RNAcentral